This 104-nucleotide non-coding RNA is filed under the name Agreia sp. COWG. RNAcentral describes it as "mraW". It matches the Rfam family "mraW RNA". The record is from RNAcentral. Lineage: Bacteria; Bacillati; Actinomycetota; Actinomycetes; Micrococcales; Microbacteriaceae.
UCUAGACCGUUACACGUGACCCCCAGCCGUUCCUCGCCCUGGCACACUUCCCCGGUGCCAGGUCGAUCGGAUGGAUGGGGAUCAGGCGGAACGGCCUCGGCCGA